UACGUAGGGCGCAAGCGUUAUCCGGAAUUAUUGGGCGUAAAGAGCUCGUAGGCGGUCUGUCGCGUCGGCUGUGAAAACCCGGGGCUCAACCCCGGGCCUGCAGUCGAUACGGGCAGACUGGAGGUAUGCAGGGGAGAACGGAAUUCCUGGUGUAGCGGUGAAAUGCGCAGAUAUCAGGAGGAACACCGGUGGCGAAGGCGGUUCUCUGGGCAUUACCUGACGCUGAGGAGCGAAAGUGUGGGGAGCGAACAGG
Molecule: ribosomal RNA, 253 nt
Filed under: uncultured bacterium
Lineage: Bacteria
Description: partial 16S ribosomal RNA
Rfam family: Bacterial small subunit ribosomal RNA
Source: RNAcentral